Molecule: ribosomal RNA, 463 nt
Filed under: uncultured bacterium
Lineage: Bacteria
Description: bacterial SSU rRNA
Rfam family: Bacterial small subunit ribosomal RNA
Source: RNAcentral
AUCAACGCUGGCGGCGUGCCUCAGACAUGCAAGUCGAACGAUUAAAGCUCUCUUCGGAGAGUGUAUAGAGUGGCGCACGGGUGAGUAACACGUAAGUAAUCUACCUUUGAGUGGGGAAUAACAGUCGGAAACGACUGCUAAUACCGCAUAAUGCAGCGGCAUCGCAAGAUGACAGUUGUUAAAGAUUUAUCGCUUGAAGAGGAGCUUGCGGCAGAUUAGCUAGUUGGUAAGGUAAUGGCUUACCAAGGCUACGAUCUGUAACCGGUCUAAGAGGACGGUCGGUCACACUGACACUGAAUAACGGGUCAGACUCCUACGGGAGGCAGCAGUCGGGAAUUUUGGGCAAUGGGCGAAAGCCUGACCCAGCAACGCCGCGUGAAGGAUGAAGUAUUUCGGUAUGUAAACUUCGAAAGAAUGGGAAGAAUCAAUGACGGUACCAUUUAUAAGGUCCGGCUAACUACGU